GGUUCUGGCAUCGAUGAAGAACGCAGCGAAAUGCGAUAAGUAAUGUGAAUUGCAGAAUUCAGUGAAUCAUCGAAUCUUUGAACGCACAUUGCGCCCGCCAGUAUUCUGGCGGGCAUGCCUGUUCGAGCGUCAUUUCAACCAUCAAGCCCCCGGCUUGUGUU
This 161-nucleotide ribosomal RNA is filed under the name Chaetomium sp. KUC21238. RNAcentral describes it as "5.8S ribosomal RNA". The stretch from base 1 to 132 matches the Rfam family "5.8S ribosomal RNA", at positions 23 to 154 of the family's 154-position model. From Rfam's summary of the family: 5.8S ribosomal RNA (5.8S rRNA) is a component of the large subunit of the eukaryotic ribosome. It is transcribed by RNA polymerase I as part of the 45S precursor that also contains 18S and 28S rRNA. Functionally, it is thought that 5.8S rRNA may be involved in ribosome translocation. Lineage: Eukaryota; Fungi; Ascomycota; Sordariomycetes; Sordariales; Chaetomiaceae. The record is from RNAcentral.